UAAUCACGCAACAAUAUUUUGGAUUAUUAAAAAAUGGUUCUAAAUUGGGAUUGUUUCGAACAAUAUGAUUCUGCACAUUCUUAAAAGUAAAGUUAUUUUGGUUAGGCUUAAAACCUUAACAAAAACCCGAUCCUUCUUUGGAUCACAUUGGUCGUGGUUUCGUCUGUCUCUGUGUAAUAAUGGCUGCUGCUUGUCGUAAGCUGUUUAACAGAGCUUCUGUCUCUUCUCUCAAAUCUGCCCUCAGAUCCGCCACUGGAUCAUCGUCGCCUGCCUCAUCAGCUGGAUUUCGUAUACCUUCUCAACCCUCUCGCCAUUUCUCAUUCUCCAGGUGUCCAUCAGAACUGGGAUGUGUUCAGUCUUUGUUACCGCUGCACAGCACGGUGGCAGCAGCGAGGUUGACUUCGUGCCUAAGCACAACUUCAAGGAGUAGCCGAGCUCUCUCUCAGGGUACACUUUGCUGCACCUCUCCCGACCUCUAAUGCUUUUCUCUUUACUUUUCCUUAUGGAGUCGAUGGCACGUGAGAUGUGUUUGCAGUUUGUUUUAAAGAGCUUGGCCUUUCAGUUCCGAGGUGACUCUAAAACCGGCAUGAAGGUUUAAUUCCAUUGAAGGGGCAGGAUUUCAGAAGAGUUGUUUCUUCUUCCCUUUGUCAAAUUUAGAGACACAACAAGUGUCUGUCAUUCUUUUCUGUGACAAAUAAUUACAAAAUCUUAUGUACUUUGAUUUAUGAUGAGAGAAAUGUUAUACAAAUUGUCAGCUUUUGUUGCCUUUUUCAGUAAAUUAGUAGAACUUACUAUGUA
Molecule: non-coding RNA, 798 nt
Organism: Camelina sativa (false flax)
Lineage: Eukaryota; Viridiplantae; Streptophyta; Magnoliopsida; Brassicales; Brassicaceae
Source: RefSeq, a predicted model, not a curated record